GAUGAACGCUGGCGGCGUGCCUAAUACAUGCAAGUAGAACGCUGAAGGAGGAGCUUGCUCUUUCCGGAUGAGUUGCGAACGGGUGAGUAACGCGUAGGUAACCUGCCUGGUAGCGGGGGAUAACUAUUGGAAACGAUAGCUAAUACCGCAUAACAGUAGAUAUUGCAUGAUAUUUGCUUGAAAGGGGCAAUUGCUCCACUACCAGAUGGACCUGCGUUGUAUUAGCUAGUUGGUGAGGUAACGGCUCACCAAGGCGACGAUACAUAGCAGACCUGAGAGGGUGAUCGGCCACACUGGGACUGAGACACGGCCCAGACUCCUACGGGAGGCAGCAGUAGGGAAUCUUCGGCAAUGGACGGAAGUCUGACCGAGCAACGCCGCGUGAGUGAAGAAGGUUUUCGGAUCGUAAAGCUCUGUUGUAAGAGAAGAACGAGUGUGAGAGUGGAAAGUUCACACUGUGACGGUAUCUUACCAGAAAGGGACGGCUAACUACGUG
RNAcentral lists this ribosomal RNA (496 nucleotides) under uncultured bacterium. RNAcentral describes it as "partial 16S ribosomal RNA". It matches the Rfam family "Bacterial small subunit ribosomal RNA", at positions 28 to 507 of the family's 1533-position model. The record is from RNAcentral.